CGGACGGGUGAGUAAUGUCUGGGAAACUGCCCGAUGGAGGGGGAUAACUACUGGAAGCGGUAGCUAAUACCGCAUAACGUCGCAAGACCAAAGAGGGGGACCUUCGGGCCUCUUGCUAUCGGAUGUGCCCAGAUGGGAUUAGCUAGUAGGUGGGGUAACGGCUCACCUAGGCGACGAUCCCUAGCUGGUCUGAGAGGAUGACCAGCCACACUGGAACUGAGACACGGUCCAG
This 232-nucleotide ribosomal RNA is filed under the name uncultured bacterium. Its description in RNAcentral is "partial 16S ribosomal RNA". It matches the Rfam family "Bacterial small subunit ribosomal RNA", at positions 99 to 334 of the family's 1533-position model. The record is from RNAcentral.